This is an unclassified non-coding RNA of Callithrix jacchus (white-tufted-ear marmoset), 117 nucleotides long. It matches the Rfam family "Metazoan signal recognition particle RNA". Rfam says of the family: The signal recognition particle (SRP) is a universally conserved ribonucleoprotein. The record is from Ensembl. Lineage: Eukaryota; Metazoa; Chordata; Mammalia; Primates; Cebidae.
GCUGGGUGUGGUGGCUCACGCCUGUAAUCCCGGUACCUGGGGAGGCUGAGGCGGGCGGAUCACCUGAGGUCAGGAGUUCAAGACCGGUCUGGCCUACAUGGUGAAACCCCGUCUCUA